UACACUGGGGGAUAACAGUUAGAAAUGACUGCUAAUACCGCAUAAGCGCACAGGGCCGCAUGGUCUGGUGUGAAAAACUCCGGUGGUGUAAGAUGGACCCGCGUCUGAUUAGGUAUUUGUUGGGGUAACGGCCCACCAAGCCGACGAUCAGUAGCCGACCUGAGAGGGUGACCGGCCACAUUGGGACUGAGACACGGCCCAAACUCCUACGGGAGGCAGCAGUGGGGAAUAUUGGACAAUGGGCGAAAGCCUGAUCCAGCGACGCCGCGUGAGUGAAGAAGUAUUUCGGUAUGUAAAGCUCUAUCAGCAGGGAAGAAAAUGACGGUACCUGACUAAGAAGCCCCGGCUAACUACGUGCCAGCAGCCGCGGUAAUACGUAGGGGGCAAGCGUUAUCCGGAUUUACUGGGUGUAAAGGGAGCGUAGACGGUUAAGCAAGUCUGAAGUGAAAGCCCGGGGCUCAACCCCGGUACUGCUUUGGAAACUGUUUGACUUGAGUGCAGGAGAGGUAAGUGGAAUUCCUAGUGUAGCGGUGAAAUGCGUAGAUAUUAGGAGGAACACCAGUGGCGAAGGCGGCUUACUGGA
RNAcentral lists this ribosomal RNA (583 nucleotides) under uncultured Lachnospiraceae bacterium. RNAcentral describes it as "bacterial SSU rRNA". It matches the Rfam family "Bacterial small subunit ribosomal RNA", at positions 132 to 733 of the family's 1533-position model. Lineage: Bacteria; Bacillati; Bacillota; Clostridia; Lachnospirales; Lachnospiraceae. The record is from RNAcentral.